CCUACGGGAGGCAGCAGUGGGGAAUAUUGCACAAUGGGGGAAACCCUGAUGCAGCGACGCCGCGUGAGUGAAGAAGUAAUUCGGUAUGUAAAGCUCUAUCAGCAGGGAAGAAAAUGACGGUACCUGACUAAGAAGCCCCGGCUAACUACGUGCCAGCAGCCGCGGUAAUACGUAGGGGGCAAGCGUUAUCCGGAUUUACUGGGUGUAAAGGGAGCGUAGACGGGUGGACAAGUCUGGAGUGAAAGGCCGGGGCUCAACCCCGGGACUGCUUUGGAAACUGUGUAGCUAGAGUGCAGGAGAGGUAAGUGGAAUUCCUAGUGUAGCGGUGAAAUGCGUAGAUAUUAGGAGGAACACCAGUGGCGAAGGCGGCUUACUGGACUGUAACUGACGUUGAGGCUCGAAAGCGUGGGGAGCAAACAGGAUUAGAUACCCCGGUAGUC
This 440-nucleotide ribosomal RNA is filed under the name uncultured bacterium. Its description in RNAcentral is "partial 16S ribosomal RNA". It matches the Rfam family "Bacterial small subunit ribosomal RNA", at positions 338 to 795 of the family's 1533-position model. The record is from RNAcentral.